GCGACGUUGCGCCGGAUUUAUUGGGCGUAAAGGGCUCGUAGGUGGUUGAUCGCGUCGGAAGUGAAAUCUUGGGGCUUAACCCUGAGCGUGCUUUCGAUACGGGUUGACUUGAGGAAGGUAGGGGGAGAAUGGAAUUCCUGGUGGAGCGGUGGAAUGCGCAGAUAUCAGGAGGAACACCAGUUGCGAAGGCGGUUCUCUGGACCUUUCCUGACGCUGAGGAGCGAAAGCGUGGGGAGCGAACAGGCUUAGAUACCCUGGUAGUCCACGCUGUAAACGGUGGGUACUAGGUUGUGGGGUCCAUUCCACGGAUUCCGUGCCGUAGCUAACGCUUUAAGUACCCCGGCUGGGGAGUACGGCCGCAACNNAAAAACUCAAAGGAAUUGACGGGGGCCCGCACAAGCGCGGGACAUGCGGAUUAAUUCGAUGGNGANCGAAGAACCUUACCUGGGUUUGACAUGGAUCAGGAGKUCUCACANAUGGGUAUGCCUCUUUUNGGGGUUGGUUCACAGGUGGUGCAUGGCUGUCGUCAGCUCGUGUCGUGAAAUGUUGGGUUAAGUCCCGCAACGAGGGCAAACCUCGUUCACUGUUGCAGCACGUUAUGGUGGGGACUCAGUGGAGACCGCCGGGGUAA
RNAcentral lists this ribosomal RNA (631 nucleotides) under uncultured bacterium. Its description in RNAcentral is "bacterial SSU rRNA". It matches the Rfam family "Bacterial small subunit ribosomal RNA", at positions 534 to 1160 of the family's 1533-position model. The record is from RNAcentral.